Long non-coding RNA from Manis javanica (Malayan pangolin), 500 nucleotides. RefSeq lists it as uncharacterized. The record is from RefSeq and is a predicted model, not a curated record. NCBI's taxonomy places the organism in Eukaryota, Metazoa, Chordata, Mammalia, Pholidota, Manidae.
UGAACACAUUACUGAGCAAGUGGGGUGCCCCGAGACAGCAUGCAAGCUCCACGCCCUUCCCACCCCUUCCUCUAGGCAUCUCUUCCAUCUGGCUGUUCCUGAGUGAUACCUUUUUAUAAUAAGCCAGUAAUCCACUGUGGGCCACUCCGAGCUUCCCAUGACUUGCUCCUGAACCCUUCUAGCCAUGGUCUCUUUUGGAUUUCCAGAACUCUCCUGCCUGUUGGCCCAGAGAUGCCUGGGGAAGAUGUGACAGAGGGAAGAUGAAAGAGACGCUAGGAGCUUGAAGGGCCACUGAUCAAAGCCGCGCUUAUCUGAAAACAGCAUGAAGACAAUGCAGUCACACUUGUCAGCAGCCCCUGGGCCUCGCUCAGGCAGCAAGCGCUCCUCAAUGCUUGACUGUGAAAGUUCAGAGGUGUGCAGUGGAGUCACUAAACCUCUGAUCACCUAGCCCUCUUAGGAGACUGGGUGGCUGAGGUUAAUAGAGGGGCUGUCUAGCAUGA